UACGGAGGAUGCAAGCGUUAUCCGGAUUUAUUGGGUUUAAAGGGUGCGCAGGCGGGGACGUAAGUCAGUGGUGAAAAGUUGCCGCUUAACGGUAGUCUUGCCAAUGAUACUGCGUUUCUUGAGUAUGGUUAAGGUAGGCGGAAUGUGCAGUGUAGCGGUGAAAUGCAUAGAUAUUGCACAGAAGGCCGAUUGCGGAGGCAGCUUACUGAGCCAUAACUGACGCUGAGGCACGAAAGCGUGGGGAUCAAACAGGAUUA
RNAcentral lists this ribosomal RNA (257 nucleotides) under uncultured prokaryote. RNAcentral describes it as "partial 16S ribosomal RNA". It matches the Rfam family "Bacterial small subunit ribosomal RNA", at positions 524 to 780 of the family's 1533-position model. The record is from RNAcentral.